This is a long non-coding RNA of Mobula hypostoma (lesser devil ray), 506 nucleotides long. RefSeq lists it as uncharacterized. Lineage: Eukaryota; Metazoa; Chordata; Chondrichthyes; Myliobatiformes; Myliobatidae. The record is from RefSeq and is a predicted model, not a curated record. The transcript has 3 exons.
CGGAGCCGCAGUGGGAAUGAGGAUAAGAUUUCAUUCCUCUUGUCGAGAGAUUGUGGUCAAAGGAAGCGGCAGGAGGAAAUGCCUCAAAUAAUGGGUAACUGAAACGGCAAAGAAGGUUGGCAGGGGAGCAAACUAGCACCAGUUCAAGGGAUCCGGUCUCCAGGCGCAAACCCACACAUCUCCAUGAUGCUUCGUGUUACAGACCCUGGCUCUGGCCACACACCCUGGUUGUAUUCUGGACCAAUGAGGGAACCAGUGCCAGACCAUCUGGAUUUCUGAAAAAUUGGAUGUUGGAUUAUUGGAGGAUCUAAAGCCAGAUGGUAAUAAGCUGUUUAUAAACAGAUGGCACUGCUUUCUUAAUUCUGGACUGGGCAAAAUAUUGUCAUCACUCAUAGAAAAAUUGAAGUUAAAAUGGCUCCCAAGAGAAUUGUCUACAAAUGAGCCCUGUUAUGUGGAGUUACUGCAUUAAAGGUGCUACUUAAAUUUUAUUUGUGAUAGUAUCUCCA